This 943-nucleotide unclassified non-coding RNA is filed under the name Hevea brasiliensis (rubber tree). Lineage: Eukaryota; Viridiplantae; Streptophyta; Magnoliopsida; Malpighiales; Euphorbiaceae. The record is from RNAcentral.
AGAGAGAGAGAGAGAGAGAUUUUGAACAGAAGAUGACUGUAAUCCAAAAUUACGGCAAGGCCAGGUGAUUGUGACCCAAACUUUUAAUAAAAUCCAGAAAUAACUCAACAAAAGUUACUAUUUUUCAGCUCCCAAGAUUCAUACGAAUAAAUCAUUUGAACAUUAUCUUCGAAAGAGUAAUUAGGAAUUGAGAUUUGUAGCAAUUUUUAAGCGAGGAGGGAAGGUGAAUGAAUUAUUCAAUCUGAUCGAUUUGUCUAUCCCAAAAUGUGUGCUUCCACAAAGUAUGGGUCAAGCUACUCUAUUUCGAGAUCUUCAUCGAUUGGCUAGAGUUCAAUCGACAGGCAGUUCUUUAAAUAGAUAAUUUACUUAGUGAAUCAGCUAUGCUUAAAGAUCUUUAGGAUCUCAAGUGAUGUGCCUUGGCCUACUUAACCUUCUUACCAUGGGCUCUUAAGUAUGAUGAACAUAAGCUUUAUUGUUUGAAUCUACAUGGGACAUUGGACCAAGAUUAGUAGGUCUAUGGGCUUCAAGUUAUUGGUUUGGAAUGUGUCAAGAUCAAAGCCCAAGAAGAUGCCUAAAUGGCGUGUGGGAUGGAAGAGGAGGAAGAGAUCAAGAAUUGACCAAACCUAUCUUAAGCCCAACAUGGCCUUUAUGGAUUUAUUUUCCUUUUUCAAGAAGCACUCCUUCUCUGUUUCUCCAUCAAGAAAUUUGUCCAAAGGGAUCCAAGGAAGAAUCAAGAUAUUUCUUUGUUUAGUUUCUCUUUAGUUUUUCUUACUUUGAGACUAUUUUUUUUCUUGUAAAAGUUCCUUUGUAUUUUCCUAAUAGUUUCUUAUCUUUGUCUAUAAAUAGGCUUUCUUUUGUAAUUUUGUUUUUUAACACAAUUCAAAAAAUAAAGAGAAAGCUUAGCAAAAUUCUAUUAAUUAUUAUCAAUCUAAUUUGAUUGUGG